UGGGGAAUUUUGGACAAUGGGCGAAAGCCUGAUCCAGCAAUGCCGCGUGUGUGAAGAAGGCCUUCGGGUUGUAAAGCACUUUUGUCCGGAAAGAAAUCCUUGGCUCUAAUACAGUCGGGGGAUGACGGUACCGGAAGAAUAAGCACCGGCUAACUACGUGCCAGCAGCCGCGGUAAUACGUAGGGUGCAAGCGUUAAUCGGAAUUACUGGGCGUAAAGCGUGCGCAGGCGGUUUGCUAAGACCGAUGUGAAAUCCCCGGGCUCAACCUGGGAACUGCAUUGGUGACUGGCAGGCUAGAGUAUGGCAGAGGGGGGUAGAAUUCCACGUGUAGCAGUGAAAUGCGUAGAGAUGUGGAGGAAUACCGAUGGCGAAGGCAGCCCCUGGGCCAAUACUGACGCUCAUGCACGAAAGCGUGGGGAGCAAACAGGAUUAGAUACCCUGGUAGUCCACGCCCUAAAACGAUGUCAACUAGUUGUUGGGGAUUCAUUUCCUUAGUAACGUAGCUAACGCGUGAAGUUGACCGCCUGGGGAGUACGGUCGCAAGGCUAAAACUUAAAUGAAUUGACGGGGUCAUAGCUGUUUCCU
Molecule: ribosomal RNA, 585 nt
Filed under: uncultured bacterium
Lineage: Bacteria
Description: partial 16S ribosomal RNA
Rfam family: Bacterial small subunit ribosomal RNA
Source: RNAcentral